Molecule: ribosomal RNA, 253 nt
Filed under: uncultured bacterium
Lineage: Bacteria
Description: partial 16S ribosomal RNA
Rfam family: Bacterial small subunit ribosomal RNA
Source: RNAcentral
GACGGAGGAUGCAAGUGUUAUCCGGAAUCACUGGGCGUAAAGGGUGCGUAGGCGGGUUUUUAAGUCAGAGGUGAAAUCCUGGAGCUCAACUCCAGAACUGCCUUUGAUACUGAAAGUCUUGAGUAUGGGAGAGGUGAGUGGAACUGCGAGUGUAGAGGUGAAAUUCGUAGAUAUUCGCAAGAACACCAGUGGCGAAGGCGGCUCACUGGCCCAUUACUGACGCUGAGGCACGAAAGCGUGGGGAGCAAACAGG